AUACUGAAACCUCCUUGCAAAGCAGCUAGCCCCUCCACAGAUGUUCCAGUUAAUAGAUCACUAACAACAAAAGUUCCUAGGCGUUUAGGAUCGGAUGGAGACCAUUGGUAGGAAGUAACCAAAACACAGUUGCGUUCGAAGCAGUGAUGUUUGGAAAUCUCAAUUCAGUAACGCUGUUGUAAUGUGGGACAACAGGUUCAGAGGUAAGAACCAAGGCUUGGGACAACAGGUUCAGAGGUAAGAACCAAGGCU
This 252-nucleotide unclassified non-coding RNA is filed under the name Hevea brasiliensis (rubber tree). The record is from RNAcentral. Lineage: Eukaryota; Viridiplantae; Streptophyta; Magnoliopsida; Malpighiales; Euphorbiaceae.